GGGUUGUGAGGUUAAGCGACUAAGCGUACACGGUGGAUGCCCUGGCAGUCAGAGGCGAUGAAGGACGUGCUAAUCUGCGAUAAGCGUCGGUAAGGUGAUAUGAACCGUUAUAACCGGCGAUUUCCGAAUGGGGAAACCCAGUGUGAUUCGUCACACUAUCAUUAACUGAAUCCAUAGGUUAAUGAGGCGAACCGGGGGAACUGAAACAUCUAAGUACCCCGAGGAAAAGAAAUCAACCGAGAUUCCCCCAGUAGCGGCGAGCGAACGGGGAGCAGCCCAGAGCCUGAAUCAGUGUGUGUGUUAGUGGAAGCGUCUGGAAAGGCGUGCGAUACAGGGUGACAGCCCCGUACACAAAAAUGCACAUAUUGUGAGCUCGAUGAGUAGGGCGGGACACGUGGUAUCCUGUCUGAAUAUGGGGGGACCAUCCUCCAAGGCUAAAUACUCCUGACUGACCGAUAGUGAACCAGUACCGUGAGGGAAAGGCGAAAAGAACCCCGGCGAGGGGAGUGAAAAAGAACCUGAAACCGUGUACGUACAAGCAGUGGGAGCACGCUUAGGCGUGUGACUGCGUACCUUUUGUAUAAUGGGUCAGCGACUUAUAUUCUGUAGCAAGGUUAACCGAAUAGGGGAGCCGAAGGGAAACCGAGUCUUAACUGGGCGUUAAGUUGCAGGGUAUAGACCCGAAACCCGGUGAUCUAGCCAUGGGCAGGUUGAAGGUUGGGUAACACUAACUGGAGGACCGAACCGACUAAUGUUGAAAAAUUAGCGGAUGACUUGUGGCUGGGGGUGAAAGGCCAAUCAAACCGGGAGAUAGCUGGUUCUCCCCGAAAGCUAUUUAGGUAGCGCCUCGUGAAUUCAUCUCCGGGGGUAGAGCACUGUUUCGGCAAGGGGGUCAUCCCGACUUACCAACCCGAUGCAAACUGCGAAUACCGGAGAAUGUUAUCACGGGAGACACACGGCGGGUGCUAACGUCCGUCGUGAAGAGGGAAACAACCCAGACCGCCAGCUAAGGUCCCAAAGUCAUGGUUAAGUGGGAAACGAUGUGGGAAGGCCCAGACAGCCAGGAUGUUGGCUUAGAAGCAGCCAUCAUUUAAAGAAAGCGUAAUAGCUCACUGGUCGAGUCGGCCUGCGCGGAAGAUGUAACGGGGCUAAACCAUGCACCGAAGCUGCGGCAGCGACACUGAUGUGUUGUUGGGUAGGGGAGCGUUCUGUAAGCCUGCGAAGGUGUGCUGUGAGGCAUGCUGGAGGUAUCAGAAGUGCGAAUGCUGACAUAAGUAACGAUAAAGCGGGUGAAAAGCCCGCUCGCCGGAAGACCAAGGGUUCCUGUCCAACGUUAAUCGGGGCAGGGUGAGUCGACCCCUAAGGCGAGGCCGAAAGGCGUAGUCGAUGGGAAACAGGUUAAUAUUCCUGUACUUGGUGUUACUGCGAAGGGGGGACGGAGAAGGCUAUGUUGGCCGGGCGACGGUUGUCCCGGUUUAAGCGUGUAGGCUGGUUUUCCAGGCAAAUCCGGAAAAUCAAGGCUGAGGCGUGAUGACGAGGCACUACGGUGCUGAAGCAACAAAUGCCCUGCUUCCAGGAAAAGCCUCUAAGCAUCAGGUAACAUCAAAUCGUACCCCAAACCGACACAGGUGGUCAGGUAGAGAAUACCAAGGCGCUUGAGAGAACUCGGGUGAAGGAACUAGGCAAAAUGGUGCCGUAACUUCGGGAGAAGGCACGCUGAUAUGUAGGUGAAGCGACUUGCUCGUGGAGCUGAAAUCAGUCGAAGAUACCAGCUGGCUGCAACUGUUUAUUAAAAACACAGCACUGUGCAAACACGAAAGUGGACGUAUACGGUGUGACGCCUGCCCGGUGCCGGAAGGUUAAUUGAUGGGGUCAGCGCAAGCGAAGCUCUUGAUCGAAGCCCCGGUAAACGGCGGCCGUAACUAUAACGGUCCUAAGGUAGCGAAAUUCCUUGUCGGGUAAGUUCCGACCUGCACGAAUGGCGUAAUGAUGGCCAGGCUGUCUCCACCCGAGACUCAGUGAAAUUGAACUCGCUGUGAAGAUGCAGUGUACCCGCGGCAAGACGGAAAGACCCCGUGAACCUUUACUAUAGCUUGACACUGAACAUUGAGCCUUGAUGUGUAGGAUAGGUGGGAGGCUUUGAAGUGUGGACGCCAGUCUGCAUGGAGCCGACCUUGAAAUACCACCCUUUAAUGUUUGAUGUUCUAACGU
This 2211-nucleotide ribosomal RNA is filed under the name Escherichia coli. RNAcentral describes it as "partial 23S ribosomal RNA". It matches the Rfam family "Bacterial large subunit ribosomal RNA", at positions 1 to 2228 of the family's 2925-position model. The record is from RNAcentral. Lineage: Bacteria; Pseudomonadati; Pseudomonadota; Gammaproteobacteria; Enterobacterales; Enterobacteriaceae.